AGGAAUUGGCGGGGGAGCACCGCAACGGGAGGAGCGUGCGGUUUAAUUGGAUUCAACACCGGAAAACUCACCAAGGGCGACUGUUACAUGAAAGCCAGGCUAAUGACCUUGCUUGAUUUUCAGAGAGGUGGUGCAUGGCCGUCGUCAGUUCGUACCGUAAGGCGUUCUCUUAAGUGAGAUAACGAACGAGACCCUCACCGAUAAUUGCCAGUCCGAUCCCCGGAUCGGGCGCACAUUAUAGGGACCGCUGGCGCUAAGUCAGAGGAAGGAGAGGUCAACGGUAGGUCAGUAUGCCCCGAAUCUCUUGGGCUACACGCGCGCUACAAAGGGCGGGACAAUGGGUUCCGACGCCGAGAGGCGGAGGCAAUCCCGAAACCCGUCCGUAGUUCGGAUUGAGGGUUGUAACUCACCCUCAUGAAGCUGGAUUCCGUAGUAAUCGCGAAUCAACAACUCGCGGUGAAUAUGCCCCUGCUCCUUGCACACACCGC
RNAcentral lists this ribosomal RNA (488 nucleotides) under uncultured archaeon. RNAcentral's name for it is "bacterial SSU rRNA". It matches the Rfam family "Archaeal small subunit ribosomal RNA", at positions 860 to 1349 of the family's 1478-position model. The record is from RNAcentral.